UUGACUACAGAAAAUGUAAACCUCUGCAAGAAAUAUGGCAGAUACAGUACCGUACAGCCACCGAUUUUUAUAGACGAUCAGUGUGCAGAUACCAGGGCAAUGUUACGAUCGUUUGCUGUCCGAACGAUCCAAACAAAGAGAAGAGAGAAAUUUUAAUAAAAACUGUGUAUAAGUAUAAGGCUUUGCGACCACCAUACUGUGGUUUUAGCAACGUCUCUCAUACCAGGGUGGUCGAUGGUAAACCAGCUGAACUUGGUACGUUUUAUGUCUUUCUUUCCGAUUAAUAAUAAGCCAUUUACUGCAAAGAAUGAACUUUAAAGGCAUUAAACAGCACAUCAAUGUACAUUUCAAUUAGACUAAAUAAUAAUGCUAUGAUUUUAUCGGUAGUAACUUUACUUAUUAACUUGAAUUAUUUCUUUCUUUUACUUCAUGUUAGGAAGAGUAUCUUUUUGCUUGAAAUAAAAAAUUGAUAUAGGAGUAAUAAUAUGGAUAGAGAUCAAAAACUGUUAGGGCAGAAAUUACACGUUUGAACUUUAUAGUUCAGUAUAGUUCAAAUAGAAAUUAUAUAGAAUUAUUUAAUAAUUUGUAUUCCACUGGAAUAAAAAUUUAAUUUCUGUCUUUAUCAAAUCUCUAUUUCAGAGUAUUUGUACGUAUGUACUUAUCGUCUGCUGUAUGAUCGAAUAUCGAAUAGGCGCUUGGCCAUGGAUCGCUGCAUUAGGUUUUCGUAAUCCCCGAAACCCAGACAAACCACUAUGGAAGUGCGGAGGUUCCCUGAUAUCGGCUAGGCAUGUUUUGACCGCAGCACAUUGUGCACAUAUGGAUGGAAUAGAAAACAUACACAAUCAUAAUAUUGCCAUUCUUAGAUUGGUGGAGGAGGUGCCAUUUUCGAGGUACGUAUAUCCCAUUUGUACGAAAGAGCCUCUACGAAAGAGCAACUUCGUCGGCUAUAACCCCCUUGUUGCUGGAUCGGGAGCAUUAAGAUAUAGUAAGUGAUAUCAAUUUUAUAAUAAAAUUAAAUAGUUCCAGUCUUAAAUAUCUUUCUUAUUUUCUUCGUAGGACGACCACGACGUAAUGCAUUAAUGGAAGUACAAAUGCCAGUGAUUAAGAACGCCGAAUGCAAAAUAGCUUAUUCCAAAUUUCCUAAUGCACCUGAUAUCACUGAUGGUAUAAUAUGCGCCGAACAUGCUCAGGGUGGAGAGGAUUCUUGUACGGUAAUUAAGUUACAGAGUUACUACAAACUAUACGGUAUCUGAAGACACGUCGAUUCGAAUUAACAUCAAAUCGACGUCUUAAACAUUAAAAAUAAUAGAUAAACACAAUUUAAUAGUUUUGCCCACUUCUCACACCUCGUUAUGGUAUUUAAUCUAAUUUCCUUCUAAUCUUAGUUUUGCUCAAAAUACAUAUAACAUGUACGUUAUAAAUUGGAGUAUUUCAAUACACAAAUCAAUAGAAGAUUAUUACUGUAUAUAAGUAUAAUUUCAAUACAAUUCGAUCGAUAUAUUUCAGUAUCUUUGAUUAAAAAUUUAACGAUCCUUUCAGGCUGACCGCGGCGGACCACUGCUGAUACAACAUGAAUUAACCUCGUAUUUAAUAGGUAUUGUGUCUUAUGCUUAUAAGUGCGGCACAGCUGGGUAUCCCAGCGUUUACACUAGGGUCACAUCGUACCUUGACUUCAUUCUCCAAGCGAUGCAAUAAUAUGAUAUUACUGUUCCAUAAAUAUCAUUGUGUAAAAAACGUAAAGUUGGAUUUUCUUAUUGUGGAGAUAAGAAACAGCUCAAAUUUACAUUGUUUUGUACGUUACAAAUUAUAGGCUUAAAAUGUACGAAAUGUAACUUUGAAACGACACUAAUUUUUUACGCACGAUAAACCUCCACGACUUAGAUUAUAGAUUCCUAUACGACUCUCAGUAAAAAUUUAUCCGCACUCCAGAUAGUUAAAACUUCUGUCGACCGUAUUGAUCCAUCUGCACUCUUCGUAUGACGUCAAUAUCUGUUCAGUGCUGCUGCGCAGGUUUCUUUGUGUUACGUCAAUUCGUUUGUGACCGUUGCGCGAGUAAUGGCGCUUUGCAAUGGUGAUUUGCAGGAAAACAGUGCAGGAUGCUGUGAUUCGUUUCUUGUGGUCGGAGGUUAUGUUUGAUGCCUAUAUUUAUCAAAGAUUUAAUGCACAUUAUGGAGAAAGUGUUUUGUCACGAAGUGUGUUUGAAUGGGCACAAAAGUUCAAAGAAGAUCGCACGAGUGUUAUGAAAAAACAGCUGGACGCCCGUCCACAUCCACGAUGACAACAUUGAACGUGCUCAUGAACUUAUGCUCUAUGGAAUAGACGAGUGACACUGGAUAAUGUGGCAAAUCAUUUGCAAAUCAGCCACGGCUCUGCUUAUGCAAUAGUGCACGACAGAUUUGGAUUUUAAAAAGUUUGUGCGAGAUGGAUGCCGAAAAAGCUGAUGAAAAGGUGAAGACGACGAUGCAUUCGUGGUUCGCAGCUCAGCCCAAAACAUUUUUUAAUGAGAAAAUACAAAGGUCCUUCGGCAAAUGGACAAAGUGUAUACAGAAAUCGAGUGAUUAUGUCAAAAAAUGAUGUAUGUCUUUUUUGACAAUUGCUUAAAAUAAAUUCUACACCGACAGAGCGGGUAACUUUUUACUCACCCUCGUAAGACACUUAAAUUUCCAAUCUAUUAUGAUGAAUAAAAGAGCUUAUACUAUUAAAUCUAAUUGUAUUUUGUUGCAUGAGAGUACACGUGUAUGUGAUGUACAUUACCUUUAUAUCCCCUUGAACGCUUCAAUAUUGCGCAUAUAUACUAUAUUUUGUACAGCUUCUAUAAAAUUUCGUAUGUUUGUUUAGGCUGUUAAUCUAGAGGCUGGAGUACAAAGAAGUGGCACAAUGAUGUGGGCUGAUGACAUUUAUAAUUAUCAAGGAAUCACCCCUACAUUC
Long non-coding RNA from Bombus huntii, 2928 nucleotides. RefSeq lists it as uncharacterized. The transcript is spliced from 4 exons. The record is from RefSeq and is a predicted model, not a curated record. Lineage: Eukaryota; Metazoa; Arthropoda; Insecta; Hymenoptera; Apidae.